CUACGGGGGGCUCCAGUGAGGAAUAUUGCACAAUGGGGGGAAUCCUGAUGCAGCAACGCCGCGUGGAGGAUGACGCAUUUCGGUGUGUAAACUCCUUUUAUAUGUCAAGAAAAUGACGGUAGCAUAUGAAUAAGCACCGGCUAACUCCGUGCCAGCAGCCGCGGUAAUACGGAGGGUGCAAGCGUUACUCGGAAUCACUGGGCGUAAAGGACGCGUAGGCGGGUUGGAAAGUCAGGUGUGAAAUCCUACAGCUUAACUGUAGAACUGCACUUGGAACUUCGAAUCUAGAGUAUGGGAGGGGGAGAUGGAAUUAGUGGUGUAGGGGUAAAAUCCGUAGAUAUCACUAGGAAUACCUAAAGCGAAGGCGAUCUCCUGGAACAUUACUGACGCUAAGGCGUGAAAGCGUGGGGAGCAAACAGGAUUAGAUACCCCCGUAGUC
RNAcentral lists this ribosomal RNA (439 nucleotides) under uncultured bacterium. Its description in RNAcentral is "partial 16S ribosomal RNA". It matches the Rfam family "Bacterial small subunit ribosomal RNA", at positions 339 to 795 of the family's 1533-position model. The record is from RNAcentral.